RNAcentral lists this long non-coding RNA (491 nucleotides) under Musa acuminata (dwarf banana). RNAcentral's name for it is "long non-coding RNA (MACU_LNC003871)". Lineage: Eukaryota; Viridiplantae; Streptophyta; Magnoliopsida; Zingiberales; Musaceae. The record is from RNAcentral.
UGCGAAGGAGCAUGGCGGGCUUUAUGUGGCGAUCUUCGUUGAUGGGCUUCCGCAUUACUUUCUUGGGUACUGCUCAAGAGUUUAAAUGUAAGUUUCUUCGAAGAAAGAAAACCCUGUUUCUUUGAUAUUAUUAGGUUCAAUCGAAGUUCUUAACCAAAUAUUCGUUCUUCCUGUCAUAAUCCCUCAUCCACAUUGUAGUAAUUAAGAUCGUGAAAUGAUUAAUCAACUAUAGUGGCUAUCUACACUUUGAAAAAUGAUAUCCUGACAGAAUUUUGCUGGACAUUUUAUCUGUUCCUUCAUUGUAUUUUUCUAAUCGUAAGCCGGAUCGUUGGUAUUUAGGUUCUAAUAGGCAGCAUUCGAUACCAAUACGCUCGGUGGCAUAGGAAGUUUAGAAAAAUGCACACGAGCUUGCAUUGAAGGAAGAUGCUAAAGAAUUGACAACGCAAUAGCAGCACCCAAAAUACAACAUUUCACUUUUUGCAUACAGACAC